GAGUGAAGUGGGAAAAGCUCAAAUUUAAAAUCUGGCAGUCUUUGGCUGUCCGAGUUGUAAUCUAGAGAAGUGUGUCCUACACUGGACUGUGUAUAAGUCUUCUGGAAUGAAGCGUCAUAGAGGGUGAGAAUCCCGUCUUUGACACAGACUCCCAGUGUAUUAUGGCAUGCUCUCAAAGAGUCGAGUUGUUUGGGAAUGCAGCUCUAAAUGGGUGGUAACCUCCAUCUAAAGCUAAAUAUUGGCAAGAGACCGAUAGCGAACAAGUACCGUGAGGGAAAGAUGAAAAGAACUUUGGAAAGAGAGUUAAACAGUACGUGAAAUUGUUGAAAGGGAAACGCUUGAAGUCAGUUGCAUUGGCCGGGGAUCAGCCUAGCUCUUUUGCUUGGUGUACUUCCUGGUCGAUGGGCCAACAUGAGUUUUGACUGCCAGAGAAGGGCAGAGGGAAUGUGGCACCUCCGGGUGUGUUAAAGCCUUCUGUCAUAUAUGUCAGUUGGGACUGAGGAAUGCAGCAUGCCGCAAGGCCAGGUCAUCUAGACCAUGUUCAUGCUUUGGAUGUUGGCRUAAUGGCUUUAAUCGACCCGUCUUGAAACACGGACCAAGGAGUCUAACAUACCUGCGAGUGUUUGGGUGGAAAACCCGAGCGCGUAAUGAAAGUGAAAGUUGAGAUCUCUGUCGUAGGGAGCAUCGACGCCCGGACCUGAGCUUUUUAGCAAUGGACCUGCGGUAGAGCAUGUAUGUUGGGACCCGAAAGAUGGUGAACUAUGCCUGAAUAGGGCGAAGCCAGAGGAAACUCUGGUGGAGGCUCGUAGCGAUUCUGACGUGCAAAUCGAUCGUCGAAUUUG
Molecule: ribosomal RNA, 842 nt
Filed under: Amanita aff. princeps HKAS 75787
Lineage: Eukaryota; Fungi; Basidiomycota; Agaricomycetes; Agaricales; Amanitaceae
Description: eukaryotic LSU rRNA
Rfam family: Eukaryotic large subunit ribosomal RNA
Source: RNAcentral